UGGCCUCGAACUCAUGACAAUAUUCCUGU
Molecule: non-coding RNA, 29 nt
Filed under: Rattus norvegicus (Norway rat)
Lineage: Eukaryota; Metazoa; Chordata; Mammalia; Rodentia; Muridae
Source: RNAcentral